This 497-nucleotide ribosomal RNA is filed under the name uncultured bacterium. Its description in RNAcentral is "partial 16S ribosomal RNA". It matches the Rfam family "Bacterial small subunit ribosomal RNA", at positions 28 to 507 of the family's 1533-position model. The record is from RNAcentral.
GAUGAACGCUGGCGGCGUGCCUAAUACAUGCAAGUCGAGCGAACAGACGAGGAGCUUGCUCCUCUGACGUUAGCGGCGGACGGGUGAGUAACACGUGGAUAACCUACCUAUAAGACUGGGAUAACUUCGGGAAACCGGAGCUAAUACCGGAUAAUAUAUUGAACCGCAUGGUUCAAUAGUGAAAGACGGUUUUGCUGUCACUUAUAGAUGGAUCCGCGCCGCAUUAGCUAGUUGGUAAGGUAACGGCUUACCAAGGCAACGAUGCGUAGCCGACCUGAGAGGGUGAGCGGCCACACUGGAAAGGAGACAGGGUGCAGAACACUCAGGGAGGCAGCAGUAGGGAAUAUUCAGCAAUGGGCGAAAGCCUGACGGAGCAAAGACGCGUGAGUGAUGAAGGUCUUCGGAUCGUAAAACUUUGUUAUUAGGGAAGAACAAAUGUGUAAGUAAAUAUGCACGUCUUGACGGGACCUAAUCAGAAAGCCACGGCUAACUACGUG